UGGUCCCUCCGCAGCGGCUGCCUUCCACGCUCCGAUUUCCCCGCUCCCGGCCAGUAACUUCCCUGGGUGAGCAGGGCGCCGUGGGCUGUCGAGCACCCUCGGGAUGAUGACCCAGGGUCCCGGUGGACACCUCAUUUAAUCUCUACACCCAACGUGGAGCUCGAACUCAUGACCCUGAGAUCAAGAAUUACAUGCUCUUCUGACUGAGCCAGCCAGGCACCCUCAAGUUCCCUCUUUAAGCGCAUAAAAUUCACGUAUCUUUGAUAAAUAACAACCCUAAUGACAUUGGAAUUGCCAUGAUUGAGACCAGGGGUUCACCAACUGUGGUUCAGGGACCCCUGGAGGCCGCCCAAGAUCUUUCUGGGGGUCAGCAAAAGUCUGGCAGUUUGGAGGGCAUGGCUGCAGGCUGUCAGCAAAGGCAGCUAUUCUCAAGAAGGCAAUCCAGAGCCCCGGGGUCUGGAAGAUUGAGUUGAAUGUCACCAGACUGGAAGGUGUACCAGUUAAGGGAAGGAGGGAGAGAGGAGUGGUCCCACUGAGUCUGGGGAGAGGGUGAAAGGCUGUGUGCCAAGAUAGAGAAGCACCAGGCCUCAGCAGUUUGGAGCUAGCAGAUGGCCGCUGGAGCUGUCCUGCAGGUCACGUAUGUACCAGCCUGCUGGUGAGAAGCAGAAACCUUUGGAGAUGAGCUUGCUGGCGGGGACGUCCAGGCCCAGGCGGCAGAAGCCCGGAGGAUGUCAGUCACUCAGCACUUUCCUGGAGCAGGCAGCCUGGGAAUGCUCACCCCUCCCUGCUUCAGCAGCCUGCUCAGAGACGGAGACUGCGCUUUAUGGGUACACGUAUCUUUCAAAACAAUUAUACGGCACUGGGGACAGCAGAGAUGCUCAGUAUUAAAGGAGUUAGUCAAUGUUGUCCCCGAAACCCAGCUUUACUUUGCAACUUUAAAAAGUAUUCAGAAAAUAAAAGGACAGAAAUGCUACCAGAAAAGAAAAAAAGAAAUGCUACAGGGCUGCUGCUGUGUUUCAGUGUUGAAUACUGUGUCCCCUUCCAGUGACCCUGUGGGUGGCACCCACACUGUCCAGCAAGGCUGGCUUCUUGGCACCUGCUAACCGCAGAGCUCCCAGGCAAAUGUUUGAGUCCCUCCCUUCUGCCUGGAGACAGGUUACGCCCAUAGUCUAUGGGCUCUGGGUCACUUUGUUUAUUCUGCUCAAGAAACUGUAACCUUGGGGCACCUGGGGGGCUUGGUUAAGCAUCCGGCUCUUGGCUUUGGCUCAGGUCAUGAUCUCAGAGGUUGUGGGUUAGAGCCCCACAUUGUGCUCUGUGCUGACAGCAUAGAGCCUGCUUGGGAUUUUCUCUCUUCCUCUCUCUCUUUGCCCCUACCCUGCUCACUCACUCUCUCUCAAAAUAGAUAAAUAAACUUAAAAAGGAUAUUUAAAAAAUAAUAAUAAUAGUAAAAAUAAUAGAGUCCCUGUCUCUGUGAAGUCGGCCCUGGCCACCCCAUCUCACACUUUGUCUCUGCAAUCACUUACAAUCUCACGGACCGUGUGCUUUGCUGACAUGGCUGACUUUUGUUUCUCACUAGAACAGAAGCUCAGUGAGGACAAACAUCUGUCCACUGCUGUGUCCCUAGCGCCUAGGUCGUGGCCACAGAAACACGCGGGAAUGAGCCAGCAGUCUCUGAGAACCGGGCGUUAGAAGGUCUCAGUGAACAAAGGCAAGGGUUUUCCUUAGCGGGAGGCACACAAGGGAGGGACGUCUGGGAACACUGGCCUGUCGCUGUGUCUCUCCCUGUUACACUGCGGCUGUCCGAGUUCAGUGUGCCUCACGGCAACUUCUAUGGAAGUAGGUCCACCGUUGAUUUGCUGCAAAGCCAUGAUGGCCAUAGACCUCUAGGAUCUAGAAAGCUGGUGAACACUCGGUGCCUUAAUGGAAGGGCACAGAGACCUAGGACCAUCCUUGUUCAGGGGAAGAGCAUGCUCUGUCCAACCCCGCGAAAAGGAGUCACCCGGCUGCCCGCUGCUGACUGUGGGUCAGGGAGCAGAGACACGGCGGACCUGGUCACUGGCUACAUCCUAGACCAGCAAGCAGAGGACCCUGUUGGCUACAGGGCACAUUCAACUGCAAGCGGUCUGGGGGACCGUGUACAAAAAGUGAAUGCCUUCUUCCUUCAAAUGCCUUCUCAUUCCCCGAAACAAGUGACCCCUGGGGCCAGGGAGAUAGCAAGCUAGUGACUGCCAGGAAUAGCUAUAAACCAGACAUCCAGACGUGGCCCCUCUCUGCUGGUAGCUGAACCCAGAUGAGACUUCUGAGCCCACACUGGGGGGUUAUGGAGGGAGGGACCCCGGGCCUCUGGCCAGUGACGACUCCCCAGUAGCUAGUGAACCUGGACAGGCAAACCCCAACUUGGACCAACAACACCCCAAAAACCCAACAUAAACUUGCAUCUAAAGAAACGGGGCGGCUCGUGAUGAGGAGAUGAGGCGGGGGGUCCCACCCGCAGUGACUGGAUCUGGGGGCGCAAACCAGGUUGCUCCACGCCUCACCUGCAGCCUUUGCUCCUUUACACGUGGG
Molecule: long non-coding RNA, 2565 nt
Organism: Acinonyx jubatus (cheetah)
Lineage: Eukaryota; Metazoa; Chordata; Mammalia; Carnivora; Felidae
Exons: 3
Source: RefSeq, a predicted model, not a curated record